Hydra vulgaris (swiftwater hydra) is the source of this 517-nucleotide non-coding RNA. Lineage: Eukaryota; Metazoa; Cnidaria; Hydrozoa; Anthoathecata; Hydridae. The record is from RefSeq and is a predicted model, not a curated record.
CAUAGUGUAUGUUUUGACACUACAUCUUCAAAUACAGCCUUUUCCUAAUCUCAUUUGUCAUUAUCUAGCAUGUAGCACUUGCAGUUUCUGGAAAUAUGUCUGAUGGACCAGUUGAUAAUCUUUUCAAAAAAAUUCAAAAUUUCUGGGAAACUAUUAAGCCUGACAUAAAUUUAAACAAUCUUAACAGGUUUGAAUGGAGCAAGAGAAAAGGAACAUUUUUAGAAGAACAGAAAAGUUUCCUCGUGGUGACUAUAAGCAUUUAGCAGAACUUGUUUUGGUUUGGCUAGGCAGUGAUAAGCUUGGAAAUUUUAAGUUUCGUAAACCUAUAGCUUUUCAUCAUGCAAGAUUUCUUUCAAAAGCUAUCUACUACAUGACAAUAGAACUGCUUACAUUUCAUUUGCAACAAUUUGAUAUAAUUAGGGAAGAAGAAAUAGCAACAGUCCCUCAAAUUGCUGAGUUUAUUGGGCUUUUUCAUGCAAGAUGGUUUCUGAAAGCACAAUUGGCAGUUUCUUCUCCU